GACGAACGCUGGCGGCGUGCUUAACACAUGCAAGUCGAACGGGAUUUCGUAACCGGAAGUCUCGUUGGGAGAGUACUAAUGAGAGUAGCGACCGGUUGAGAAACUCGUUAUCAACCUGCCAUAACCAGUGGGAUACCCUCGUGAUACCGGGAUUUAUAUUGAAUAAAAUCGUUCAAUAAUAUGUUUCAACGUUCAAGUCUCUAUCGGUCAUAUCGGGGCUCGCGUCUGAUUAGCGAGUUGGUACGGUAAACGCCCACCAAGGCGACGAUCAGUACCCGGUCUGAGAGGAUGAGCCGCGACAUUUGAGCUGAGACACGGUCCAGACUCCUACGGGAUGCAGCAGUGGGGAAUAGUGCACAAUGGGGGAAAUCCUGAUGCAGCGACGCUGCGUGAACGAAGAAGGUAUUCGUAUAGUAAAGUGCUGUUCUAUGGGAAGAUAAUGACAGUACCAUAGAAGAAAGCUCCGGCUAAAUACGUG
RNAcentral lists this ribosomal RNA (478 nucleotides) under uncultured bacterium. RNAcentral's name for it is "partial 16S ribosomal RNA". It matches the Rfam family "Bacterial small subunit ribosomal RNA", at positions 28 to 507 of the family's 1533-position model. The record is from RNAcentral.